This 253-nucleotide ribosomal RNA is filed under the name uncultured bacterium. Its description in RNAcentral is "partial 16S ribosomal RNA". It matches the Rfam family "Bacterial small subunit ribosomal RNA", at positions 524 to 776 of the family's 1533-position model. The record is from RNAcentral.
UACGGGGGGGGCAAGCGUUGUUCGGAAUUACUGGGCGUAAAGGGCUCGUAGGCGGCCAACUAAGUCAGACGUGAAAUCCCCAGGCUUAACCUGGGAACUGCGUCUGAUACUGGAUGGCUUGAAUUCGGGAGAGGGAUGCAGAAUUCCAGGUGUAGCGGUGAAAUGCGUAGAUAUCUGGAGGAACACCGGUGGCGAAGGCGGGUCUCUGGGCCGAUACUGACGCUGAGGAGCGAAAGCGUGGGGAGCGAACAGG